This 567-nucleotide ribosomal RNA is filed under the name Triticum aestivum (bread wheat). RNAcentral describes it as "partial small subunit ribosomal RNA". The record is from RNAcentral. Lineage: Eukaryota; Viridiplantae; Streptophyta; Magnoliopsida; Poales; Poaceae.
AUGGAGCAAUCACCGGCGGCAAGUCGUCCAUGGCUGCUGCUUCUCUGCCUCGCCGUCGCCGCCACCGGCGGCGUACUCCAGGCUCGCGCCCAGCUUGACAGCAAAGGUUUCAUAAGCGUAGACUGCGGACUACCGGGGAAGGCGAGCUACGUGGACGGCGGCACCAAGCUAUCAUACGUCUCCGACGCCGGGUUCAUCGAUGAUACCGCCGGCGCCAACCACAACAUCUCGGGCCAGUACAUUCGACCGCAGCUCUCGCGGCGCUACCACGACGUGCGCAGCUUCCCUGAUGGCACGCGCAGCUGCUACACACUCCGGUCCCUCGUGUCCGGUCGCAAGUACCUCGUCCGCGCGGCCUUCAUGUACGGCGACUACGACGGCCUCGGCAGGCUGCCGGUCUUCGACCUCCACCUCGGCGUCAACUACUGGCACACCGUCAACGUCUCGACGCCCGGAAUCAAAGUGACGGCGGAGGCCAUCGUGGUCGUUCCGGACAACUUCGUGCAGGUCUGCCUGGUGAACACCGGCGCCGGAACGCCGUUUGUCUCCACGCUAGAGCUGAGCUAG